CUGAAGUAGCUUAAAGUUAAAGCAUUGAUUUUGUAAUUCAAAGAAUAGAAAAAAAUUUCUCUUCCGAUU
Molecule: transfer RNA, 69 nt
Filed under: Radix sp. MOTU5
Lineage: Eukaryota; Metazoa; Mollusca; Gastropoda; Lymnaeidae
Description: tRNA-Thr
Rfam family: tRNA
About the family: Transfer RNA (tRNA) molecules are approximately 80 nucleotides in length. Their secondary structure includes four short double-helical elements and three loops (D, anti-codon, and T loops).
Source: RNAcentral